GAUACUUGCUUGUUUGGCAUAGCACACACUGGCGGACAAAAGUCUUGAUUUGAUGUGCAAUCCCUGGCCAACAAGAUGAGGAAAGUCGGGCUAAAGUGGCAUUCCAUCCUGAAUGACCUGUUGUUGGGGUUUCAUGGAACUCACAGAUCAAUGUGAGACGUAAGUCUGCCAAGUCAGGUAUAAAAAUGCGCCCCUUAUAGAAUAAAAUUUCAUGUGAUAAAAUAUAGUGUUGUUUGCCAACUAGAUCUGAUUCUUGUUGUGUGAUAAAUGCAUGACCCUCUGAAGAGGAAACAAAUUCCCGAAGUUGAUAUAGAAUCUGAGGACACGGUGAGGUCAGGGCAGCAAGGAUAGGAGCAUCAGUGCUGAAGCAUCGAGAUAAUCCAUCGAUAACCCGAUUUGAGGUAUAUGUUCUAUACUUGAUAAUAUAGUGAAAGCCGAUUAAUUUGGUAGCCCAUUUUUGUUGUUCCGGGUUUUGAAAACCCUAGGUCAUUAACUGCCGUAAACUUUGUUGAUCUGUGUAAAUAGUGAAUUGCUUUCCUAAUAAGUAUUGUCUCCAUUUUUUUACAGAUUCGGUCACCGUAAACAUCUUCGGACAUAUGCUGAUAAGUGUUGCAUCCGAUUCGACAUCUUUUUACUGAAGUAAGCCAAAGGGUGGCCAUUUUGGGAAAGGACAGCUCUGAUAGCAACAGUCGACGCAUCCGUCUCAACAGCAAAUGUUUCGGAAAAAUCUGAAAGUUUUAAAACUGGAGUAGUUGUCAUUGCUUUUUUUAAUACUAUAAAGGUUGUCUCAGCCUUUGUAGACCAUGUAAGUUGUUGUAAUCUUAGUAAAUCAAUGAGUGGCGCG
This 844-nucleotide long non-coding RNA is filed under the name Lupinus angustifolius (narrow-leaved blue lupine). Its description in RNAcentral is "long non-coding RNA (LANG_LNC003254)". The record is from RNAcentral. Lineage: Eukaryota; Viridiplantae; Streptophyta; Magnoliopsida; Fabales; Fabaceae.